AGCGAACGCUGGCGGCAGGCCUAACACAUGCAAGUCGAACGAACUCUUCGGAGUUAGUGGCGGACGGGUGAGUAACACGUGGGAACGUGCCUUUAGGUUCGGAAUAACUCAGGGAAACUUGUGCUAAUACCGAAUGUGCCCUUCGGGGGAAAGAUUUAUCGCCUUUAGAGCGGCCCGCGUCUGAUUAGCUAGUUGGUGAGGUAAAGGACCACCAAGGCGACGAUCAGUAGCUGGUCUGAGAGGAUGAUCAGCCACAUUGGGACUGGUACAUGGCCCAAACUCCUCCGGGAGGCAGCAGUGGGGAAUCUUGCGCAAUGGGCGAAAGCCUGACGCAGCCAUGCCGCGUGAAUGAUGAAGGUCUUAGGAUUGUAAAAUUCUUUCACCGGGGACGAUAAUGACGGUACCCGGAGAAGAAGCCCCGGCUAACUUCGUGCCAGCAGCCGCCGUAA
This 449-nucleotide ribosomal RNA is filed under the name uncultured bacterium. RNAcentral's name for it is "partial 16S ribosomal RNA". It matches the Rfam family "Bacterial small subunit ribosomal RNA", at positions 29 to 523 of the family's 1533-position model. The record is from RNAcentral.